AGUGCUGUGGCUCAGUGGUAGAGCAUCUGCUUUGCGUGCAGAAAGUCCCAGGUUCAAUCCCUGGCAGGGUUG
This is a non-coding RNA of Lacerta agilis (Sand lizard), 72 nucleotides long. Lineage: Eukaryota; Metazoa; Chordata; Lepidosauria; Squamata; Lacertidae. The record is from the annotation of a RefSeq genome assembly.